RNAcentral lists this transfer RNA (73 nucleotides) under Stegodyphus mimosarum. It matches the Rfam family "tRNA". Rfam says of the family: Transfer RNA (tRNA) molecules are approximately 80 nucleotides in length. Their secondary structure includes four short double-helical elements and three loops (D, anti-codon, and T loops). The record is from Rfam by way of RNAcentral. Lineage: Eukaryota; Metazoa; Arthropoda; Arachnida; Araneae; Eresidae.
GCCUUGGUGGAGUAACUGGAAAUACGUCCGAUUCGUAAUCGGGAGAUCCAGAGUUCGAAUCCCGGCUAUGGCA